GAGCUUGCUCUUAUGAAGUUAGCGGCGGACGGGUGAGUAACACGUGGGUAACCUGCCCAUAAGACUGGGAUAACUCCGGGAAACCGGGGCUAAUACCGGAUAAUAUUUUGAACUGCAUGGUUCGAAAUUGAAAGGCGGCUUCGGCUGUCACUUAUGGAUGGACCCGCGUCGCAUUAGCUAGUUGGUGAGGUAACGGCUCACCAAGGCAACGAUGCGUAGCCGACCUGAGAGGGUGAUCGGCCACACUGGGACUGAGACACGGCCCAGACUCCUACGGGAGGCAGCAGUAGGGAAUCUUCCGCAAUGGACGAAAGUCUGACGGAGCAACGCCGCGUGAGUGAUGAAGGCUUUCGGGUCGUAAAACUCUGUUGUUAGGGAAGAACAAGUGCUAGUUGAAUAAGCUGGCACCUUGACGGUACCUAACCAGAAAGCCACGGCUAACUACGUGCCAGCAGCCGCGGUAAUACGUAGGUGGCAAGCGUUAUCCGGAAUUAUUGGGCGUAAAGCGCGCGCAGGUGGUUUCUUAAGUCUGAUGUGAAAGCCCACGGCUCAACCGUGGAGGGUCAUUGGAAACUGGGAGACUUGAGUGCAGAAGAGGAAAGUGGAAUUCCAUGUGUAGCGGUGAAAUGCGUAGAGAUAUGGAGGAACACCAGUGGCGAAGGCGACUUUCUGGUCUGUAACUGACACUG
RNAcentral lists this ribosomal RNA (689 nucleotides) under uncultured Bacillus sp. RNAcentral describes it as "bacterial SSU rRNA". It matches the Rfam family "Bacterial small subunit ribosomal RNA", at positions 76 to 748 of the family's 1533-position model. Lineage: Bacteria; Bacillati; Bacillota; Bacilli; Caryophanales; Bacillaceae. The record is from RNAcentral.